CUCGAGCGAAGUGCUUAGGACUUUAUCCUUCGUUAUAAAGACUUAAGUAUCUUAGCGGCGGACGGGUGAGUAACGCGUGAGAAACCUGCCUUUCACAAAGGGAUAGCCUCGGGAAACUGGGAUUAAUACCUUAUGAAACUUUUAAUCCACAUGGAUAUAAAGUCAAAACGUAAAGUGGUGAAAGAUGGUCUCGCGUCCCAUUAGUUAGUUGGUGAGGUAGAAGCUCACCAAGACAGCGAUGGGUAGCCGGCCUGAGAGGGUGACCGGCCACACUGGAACUGAGACACGGUCCAGACUCCUACGGGAGGCAGCAGUGGGGAAUAUUGCACAAUGGAGGAAACUCUGAUGCAGCGACGUCGCGUGAACGAUGAAGGCUUUCGAGUCGUAAAGUUCUGUCCUAGGGGACGAUAAUGACGGUACCCUAGGAGGAAGCCCCGGCUAACUACGUGCCAGCAGCCGCGGUAAUACGUAGGGGGCAAGCGUUGUCCGGAUUUAUUGGGCGUAAAGGGUACGCAGGCGGCCUUUUAAGUCAGAUGUGAAAUCUUACGGCUCACCGUAACUAGCAUUUGAAACUGAAAGGCUUG
Molecule: ribosomal RNA, 584 nt
Filed under: uncultured bacterium
Lineage: Bacteria
Description: bacterial SSU rRNA
Rfam family: Bacterial small subunit ribosomal RNA
Source: RNAcentral